This 465-nucleotide ribosomal RNA is filed under the name uncultured bacterium. RNAcentral describes it as "partial 16S ribosomal RNA". It matches the Rfam family "Bacterial small subunit ribosomal RNA", at positions 338 to 795 of the family's 1533-position model. The record is from RNAcentral.
CCUACGGGAGGCUGCAGUGGGGAAUUUUGGACAAUGGGCGCAAGCCUGAUCCAGCUAUUCCGCGUGUGGGAAGACGGCCUUCGGGUUGUAAACCACUUUUGUAGAGAACGAAAAGUCUGUUGAUAAUACCGAUAGAUGAUGACGGUACUCUAAGAAUAAGCACCGGCUAACUACGUGCCAGCAGCCGCGGUAAUACGUAGGGUGCGAGCGUUAAUCGGAAUUACUGGGCGUAAGGGGUGUGCAGGCGGUUUUGCAAGAUGGAUGUGAAAGCCCCGGGCUUAACCUGGGAAAGCCAUACAUGACUGCAAGACUAGAGUGCGUCAGAGGGGGAUGGAAUUCCAAGUGUAGCAGUGAAAUGCGUAGAUAUUUGGAAGAACACCGAUGGCGAAGGCAGCCCCCUGGGACGCAACUGACGGUCAUACACGAAAGCGUGGGGAGCAAACAGGAUUAGAUACCCGUGUAGUC